UUUUUUAGAGAGAAUACCUUUCAAGAUAGGGAUUUAGAAGGACUAAACCUAAAAAUGCUAAAGAAGGGAGUUAGUGAAGAGGCGAACACUUUAAUGAAUUGGAUUGAGGAAGGGUAUUUACUAUUUUUCUAAAAAAUCCUUAUCAGACUAAUUAAUUUAUAUUUGAA
Long non-coding RNA from Zophobas morio, 167 nucleotides. RefSeq lists it as uncharacterized. The record is from RefSeq and is a predicted model, not a curated record. The transcript is spliced from 3 exons. NCBI's taxonomy places the organism in Eukaryota, Metazoa, Arthropoda, Insecta, Coleoptera, Tenebrionidae.